This is a non-coding RNA of Camellia sinensis, 804 nucleotides long. Lineage: Eukaryota; Viridiplantae; Streptophyta; Magnoliopsida; Ericales; Theaceae. The record is from RefSeq and is a predicted model, not a curated record.
GUUGAGUCAUUAUUGUUUCUUGAAUUACCCAAUUUUAGGGCAUUCUUUGACGGAGUUGUUCCUCCAUACAGUGUUUCCUUUAACCUUAAGAAAUUGUACUUCUGUAGAUGUUCCAGUAUUAGGAAUAUUUUCCCUGCUAAGUUGUUGCAGAACUUCCCAAACCUCGAGCAACUUGAAGUGUCUUAUUGUAAACAUGUGGAGGACAUAUUUGUAGAAGUAGAGAUGAGCGAUCAGGGUCAUCAUCAAGAGGAUAGCAACACAAUCACACUACGAAAUUUCCAGAGAUUACAACUGUCAAGUCUACCAAGACUGAAGAGCAUAUAUAAGGGCAAAAUGGUCUGUGGAUCUCUGCAAGAUAUUGUUGUAGACAAGUGUCACACAUUAAGGAGACUACCUCUUUCUUUGCACAUGGAUAACGGGCAAGCAUCAGCACCACCUGCGCUUCAGCACAUUUGGGGAGAUAAUGAAUGGUGGGAAUCUCUGGAUUGGGCUGAUUCUUAUAGCAAAUCCAUUCUUCAGCCUUUGUUCUCCCUUAAAUACUAAGUUGCUCCCACCAUGUCAUGCACAACCACUUUUUCCAAGAUCCACCAUUGCCGACCACUGCAAACACAUUCGGAGAACAGGGAGGUGCAUUUUGAUUGAAGAUAGCUGGCGGUAAUACAUUGAUGUGUUCUUUUUACCAUUAUUUUGGUAAUGAAUAAACACAAUGUUCUAUUUUCGUAACUGGGUAGCACAAUGUACUGGUACUGUUUGUUGAAAUGUUUGAGUGAAUAUAAUUAUUUCAUUUUGGCUUGAGUUUGACUA